RNAcentral lists this long non-coding RNA (1659 nucleotides) under Nicotiana benthamiana. RNAcentral describes it as "long non-coding RNA (NBEN_LNC038158)". Lineage: Eukaryota; Viridiplantae; Streptophyta; Magnoliopsida; Solanales; Solanaceae. The record is from RNAcentral.
UCUCGUUCAUCCCCCCUAAAUCCUUGACACACGAAUUGGUCUGCAAAUUUCUGGAGAUCUUCUAUUAUUAUUACGCUCACUAUUUGUAGAAAAUCCUACGAAAUUUCAGUCCUAAAACCUACAGAAAAACCAAAAACAUAGAGAAGAAUUCAAGUUUUCCCAUCUUCCUCCUUCUGUUACACAUCUUUGCUAUACAAACUUGAUUCGCUGCUUGAUUUUCUUGUUCCACUACUGAGAGCUGCUGCUGCUCCUUCUUCCUCGACUGAACUCCCUCACCACCGGUAAUGGCCGGAAACUGGCGGCGGAAUUUCGUUUCGUCAAUGGAGUUCACUUCAAGCUCGUGGAGAGCUCAUUUGAAUUUGUAGUUUCAAGUCUGUCGUUCCAUUUACUGUAACAUUCCUGUUGAGAUCGAGUCUCGUUAAAGCCCGUUCGUAGGUCGCUAAAUCUGUUCGUUGAGUCUGUUCAGUUCCGUUCGAGAUUCCGGGGAGGUUCCGGCGCUGCUACGUUUUCUGUCCGAAUCGUGUUUGAUCGGCCGAGUUUCAAAACAGUAUUGUAAAGGUGCACUUUUCAAAUGGCGCUGCUACAUUUUCUGUCCGAGUCCGUGUUUGAUCGACCGAGUGUCGAAACAGUAUUGUAAAGGUGCACUUUUCAAAUUCUAUCUUGUUUCAUCUCAUUGUUUAGAUUGAGGAAGGAAUUAAAUUGGUUUGAUGUUAUGUUGGUUUGAUUGUAUUUGCAUGCGUUAGUUCCCUUAAUCUGUUAAGUGUCUUAAUAUUGCUCAUUAAAAAUGAUUAAAUGCAUGUGAUUUGCUGGUAGUUAUAUGUCAAAUAUACUUUACUUAUUAGUAUAUUUUUACUUUCGUUCUGUUGUCAUUAUAAGCUCAUAAAAAUCUGGUUAGUUUUCUUUAGUUAAUUUUUUGUUUCUUUUGAAAUAAUAUGAUUGCUCAUUGUUAAGUCUUGAUGCGUUUUAGCUUUCUUCUAUCAUGUUGGUUCUCACGUUUUAAUAGCAGUUGUCAUGAGAAAGUGUUCUCAUCUUUUUGGUAUCACUCCUGUUUACACAAUAUGAUCUCAUAUGAAUUUUUGUGUUCUUUAAUUAGGAUUCAAAGUUGAAAUGCAUUUGAAUGGAGCAAUGCAGACUGUCACUACUAAUAUGUAGUCGAUUUUGGCUAAUUUGAAACUGAAGGAAUAUUUGAUCGACCAAUUGAUCUACAUGUCAGCCUUAACAAAUGCAUUACUAGUAGUUGGGGUACAAAAGAAGUGAUUUGAGGUGUGCUGUGCCAAAUAAAAUUUCAAAAAAAUGCACGGCCUUCGCUUAAUUAAGUUUGAUUUAAUCCGUAGAACUCGGGAGAACCGUUUAGUGAAUUUCACGGUCUUCCCCAAAUAAAAUGGCGCUAGACUCUUUAGGCGCGAUUUAAUCAAAUUACUUUCUUAAACUCGGGUGCGCAUUGAUGCGACCCAAAUUCAAGUCUCGACGAAGUCGAAAUGUGUGUUCGACCACAGGUGCCUUGAUGGUGACGGAGUUAGAAAUGCGUUUUCAUGAUGUCGUAAUUCUUAUAAAACAAAUAACGAUCGUAAAAUGGUUCAAAAAUGGAGAUGAGUCUCACAGAACAAGAAUAAAUGUGGGGCCCUCAAUAAUUGGUUGUUAAAAAUGAUUAGAAUUUGG